RNAcentral lists this long non-coding RNA (1387 nucleotides) under Capra hircus (goat). Its description in RNAcentral is "lncRNA (ENSCHIG00010021056.1)". The record is from RNAcentral. Lineage: Eukaryota; Metazoa; Chordata; Mammalia; Artiodactyla; Bovidae.
GAAUUUUCCAGGCAAGAGUACUAGAGUGGAUUGCCAUUUCCUUCUCCAGAUGAUCUUCCCAACUCCAGAGACUGAAUCUGAGUCUCCUGCAUUGGCAGGCAGAUUCUUUACCACUACACCACCUAGGAAGCCCAUCAACUAUAUCCCAAUAAAGAAAUAUGUAAGUGUCUAGUUGGGGCUCAGAUUCACAAUGGCAGUCUCCAUGCCCGACAUGCCUGCAUCUCUAGGACGCCAUGGCUCCUGGAAGUCCUUCUGGGCACUGAGGGUUGAUCUGUGUGUGUGUCACACCGCAUAUCUAAACCCAGCUCUCCCCACUCGCCACAUCUAUGUUCUCCUACCCAGACUCAUUGUGUGCCACUGGCUAAAGUGUGCCAUCACGUUCAACAUUUCAGCUCCCCUUGCUUCGACUUCAAUCCAGUUCUCUAUGGCCUUGGACCUGCACUGUAUCAUAUUGGGUUUUUCUAACUUUUCCACAUGCUGCCACAUCCCUGCCUUUACCCACCUAAUAUCACUUAAGAAACUGUGAUGACUUACAUUCGCGUUUCAGGCUAUGUCCACACUUGUAGGGCUGCAUUCGCAGAAUGACUCCCACCUAAGGACCUCAAUUUGCUUCCCCAGAUUUAUCCUUCGCUGUAGGCCUUCUUCUUCCUUCCCCUGAAUCCCUCUCACUUGUCUUUCACUGUCCUCUCCUGCAAGACCUGCCUCUUCUCAUUCUCAUAACUCCAAUGUGAGACUUUCUCCACAACUCACAGGUCACUUUUCUCAAAGCUUACAACUUCUGAGCAUCAUAAAACUCACCCUACUCAUGAAAUUUUCAGCACCUAUGUUUGCAGUGCAUUUUCCCAGAAUAAGUAUUAGCUUCUGCAUCACCUUCCAAAUGCACUCAAGUUAUUAGGUAAGCCAAACCAUCCACUGCUUGGUUUUGAUGAAAAUCCCUUUCCUGGGUAGAGACGCGUGUGAGUUCCAAAACAAAAUGGGAACUGAGGGGGGAAUAGCAUUUCCCUUUUACAUAUGAGGAUGUUACGUCCCAGAGAAUUGAAUUUCUUAUCACAGCAGCAUCACCUUCAUUAGUAGCAGAAUUAGCAUUAAUACCCAGAUAUUUUGGUUGUGAAUUUCAGGCUUUUACUACCAUAUGUACUUUUGGAAGCAUAUUCUCUAAGGUUGACGCCAUACCUUGUGGAUAUAUUUUACAUUUCAACAUCAUAAACCACAUGUACUUGCUUCUAUGUACUGAAUGAAAAACUGAAUAAUGUGUAUAGUCUCCGAUUAAGAAAUCUUUCGUAUAGAAGGUCAAAAUCUACCCAGAAGAGUUUACUACUACACGUUUUCCACUGUUGAGUUCAGUUCAGUCGCUCAGUUGUUUCUGACUCUUUGCAACCCCAUGAAU